Halichondria panicea is the source of this 1608-nucleotide long non-coding RNA. RefSeq lists it as uncharacterized. Lineage: Eukaryota; Metazoa; Porifera; Demospongiae; Suberitida; Halichondriidae. The record is from RefSeq and is a predicted model, not a curated record. The transcript has 3 exons.
CAAAAAUAAUUCGAGAUGACACUAAUAGAGAUAAUAAAGCUCAUUACAGUUUUCCUGAUUUGCUUUCUGGCUGGCUUCAGCACUGGUAAGACUGACUAUUCAAUUAUAGAUUUCCUUACAUUGCUGCAUGUUUUAUAAAGCUCAAUAUUCAGUGAGUGUGGAGAGACCAUGUCCAAUGGAAACAGUCGUUUUUACUUGCACUGCUCCUGGAGAUUUCUUGAGAUGGGAGCCGUCAGAUGCAACUCGCACGAUCACUGUUCGCUCCACCUCUGGUCUCAAUGUAGCCAAUGUUGUAUCAGGUUACACCGUGACACUGAUUGGAUUUAACGACACUACUUUAACAUCUACUCUGUCAAUAACAGCAGAGAACGGGAUCACUGUGACGUGUGUGGGGAUUGUGCUUACUUUAAAUACUAUAGGAUCUUCAACAAUUCAAUUGGUUGAACGACCAGGACCACCUUCCACCAUCAGACACUCCACUUCGAGCAUCUUAGCCAAUGAAGUCGGUGUGACUGUUGGUUGGGACCCUCCUACUGAGACUGGUGGUAGAGAUGACCUCACCUACACAGUGACCAUUUCACCUCCGGCCAUACUCUCUGGUACUGUCCUCACAUCCACCUCUGUCACUGUGACUGCUCAAUACAAUGUGGACUACACUGUCAGUGUUGUGGCUACUAAUUGUGCUGGGAACAGUACGGCAGCUGAGUACAACUUUAGGAUUGGUGAGUUUUAUUUUUGACACACAGUGUCAACUCCUCCUCAGGCAAUUACUGUCCUGUGUUGACCAACCCCAUGAAUGGAGUGUUUGGACCAACUACCAACAGUUUGCCAGGAUCCACGGUAACCAUCCAGUGUGAUGCUGUGUAUGUGUCUACUGUUACAAUGGUGACAUGUGAGGGUACACUGAUGUGGAGUCCCGACCCUGAGGCUAUUGAGUGUACAUCACUAACCACACCUACUCCCACAACUCUCCCCCCUCAAAUGAAUUGCACAGCUUCACUACCACCACCACGGAAUGGCACCAUCAGUGGUCAUUCAGUACCAGCUAUUCCCGGUAUGUGAGUGGUCUUUCAGUGUGACAAUGGACUGUUCCCUGAGGGGAUAAUGACUGCCACAUGUCUAGCUACAGGAGAGUGGGACAGGAACACGGGGGAGAUUGUCUGCAGAGGCAAGCGUAUUCAUUACUUUACACUUGUAAUCAUAUAUAUAUACUUCUCUCUUGAACCACAUACAGCUGCUCUUUGUAAUUGUGCCAGCCUAUCUGCAGCUGUCUCCAUCAGCGUGAUUGUCACGGCAGUUCUAUUCACCGUCAUUGGAUUGUUGAUGGGACUCUUGAUAAUGUAUUUGUUCAUUCAUAAAAAGAAUGUGUACUCCCCGUCAGCUAAAGAGCGAGCUAACGUAAGACCCACUACACCAGCUGGUCCUGUUUAUGAGGAGGUGUCACCCAAAGAGGAGAUUGAACUGAAUACUAACCAGGCGUAUGGACCAGUAGGACUGUGAAACUUCUGGUACUUUCAUCAAUAGAUGCAUGUACAUGUAACAAUUACCAUAAUUUAUAUAGCUAGCACGUACUGCAACUGUUCAUUCAACAACUUAGAACAAUGUAAA